Macaca fascicularis (crab-eating macaque) is the source of this 1733-nucleotide long non-coding RNA. Lineage: Eukaryota; Metazoa; Chordata; Mammalia; Primates; Cercopithecidae. The record is from Ensembl.
GCUGCACAUACAUGCCUAAAACUAAGUAAUUCUAAGACAUAACAGGGCAGUAUAUCAGUAAGUCAUCGACACUUCAAUGAACUAUCAUCAGAGAAAAUAGCAAACAGGUUAUGCAAAUGAGCAGACAAUCCCAACCUUGUUUCUAAAGUCAUACUUGACUUGAGGACAAUUCACUGAUGAAAAAGGGAGAGCGGGAGGCAGAGGGAGAGGGGAAUAGGGAACAGGACAGACAGGGAGAAGGAGAGGUGUAGAAAGAAAAAGAGGGAGGGGGUAGCAGAAGAUGGAGGGAAGGGAAGAAAAAGGGAGGAAGAAAGAAAGAGAAAUGAAGGAAGAAAAAAUGAAAACAUCCUAGUGAAAUAUUGCUUAAAAUGACAGUUAUGUCACGUCGCCCUGUCCCUAGGCAAUUUGAAGGACGUUCCAAGCAUGAGUGCCCAGUUAGAAUAAAGUGUCAUGAGUUCAUAACUUUCUUAACCUAGGAAGGAUCACAGAAAUCAUACUUCAGUUUACUGGAGGCUAUUGAGGCACAGAGAGGUAAAGCACCUUUUUAGAGUUGCACAGCAUCUUAAAGGAGGUUAACUCAAGCUUUCACUGUUACUAGAGAUAACCAAUGGAGUAUACUUUGACAAAGCAUAGUUAAGGCUUGCUAACAUUUAAAAUCAUCCAACAUUAUUACAGUUACUAAAUUAAUUAUUUUUCAUUCAGCCAUAUUCAUUCAGCCUUUUUUUUUUUUUUUUUUUUUUUUUUUAAGACGGAGUUUCACUAUGUUACCCAGGCUGGCCUCAAACUCCUAGGCUCAACCUAUCCUCCAUCCUCAGCCUCCCUGGUAGCUGGGAUUACAGGCCUGUGACACCACACCCAGCUCAUAUUCACUUUUUAACUUGUCAUCAUGGAGAUAGUUCACAGAACUGCAUUCCUUGCUUCACAGUGGCUGCCCUAAGCUGUUAAGGAGGGUUAGGGUAUGAUUUGUGUGCAGAGGUCCUGCUUCCAAAUGCUGCUGAGGAUGUUAUAAAGUCCUCUUUGUGCUUAACCCAGCAGCUCUGGGGUCAAACAAAACAGUCUGCCAAGGAUCCAAAACAAAGAAUGCAAGGGGAUGUAACUCUCUGAUGAUAUAUCCCAAUUUACAAAAUUCUUUCCACUUUGCUCAACCCCAGGGCUUUCUAGGAACUAAAGAGCUGGUAGGACACAAAUUGUCCAUAAUGUUGCUGGGUAGAUUUUUACGCGUGCAAACACAUACAGAGAUACACUACCUUUACAUAUACAAUUCAAGAAUUUUCCUUUAUUCUCUUUCAUAGCACUUUAAAUGUAUUUUGAAGAUCAAAUUGUUAUGGCUUUACAAGUACCUCUUCCAAGGUAUAUGUAACACCCAUCUGGCUUCCCGAUCUGUCAAGAGGCCACAUACCCUAAACUAACUCCUGGAGCAUUCAAUCCAUUUUCCUGCAGAUUAAGCACAAACAACUAGGGAGACAGUGUCCCAAUUUUAUAAAAUUAUCUAAACAUUCCAAAAGUAAUAGAAGCAAACUAUAAAUCUUGCAAAUAACCUCUCUGAGCUUUGUGGUGACUGGCUACAAAAAUGUUUAACAUUGUAAGGUAUGAGUUGAAAUUUCUAUAUAUUUGAAUGGAAAAUAAAAAUCAAAUUUAACUACAUUGGGAAGAUACUCCUCUACAGAAGGCAAUAGUUUCUGCUAAAUACAAAUAAAGGGGUUGAGCAAAAAAAAAAAAAAAAAAAAAAAAAA